ACUCCUACGGGAGGCAGCAGUGGGGAAUAUUGCACAAUGGGGGAAACCCUGAUGCAGCCAUGCCGCGUGUGUGAAGAAGGCCUUCGGGUUGUAAAGCACUUUCAGUAGGGAGGAAGGUAGUGUAGUUAACACCUGCAUUAUUUGACGUUACCUACAGAAGAAGCACCGGCUAACUCCGUGCCAGCAGCCGCGGUAAUACGGAGGGUGCGAGCGUUAAUCGGAAUUACUGGGCGUAAAGCGCAUGCAGGCGGCCUGUUAAGUCAGAUGUGAAAGCCCGGGGUCUUAACCUCGGAAUUGCAUUUGAAACUGGCAGGCUAGAGUCUUGUAGAGGGGUUAGAAUUUCAGGUGUAGCGGUGAAAUGCGUAGAGAUCUGAAGGAAUACCAGUGGCGAAGGCGGCCCCCUGGACAAAGACUGACGCUCAGAUGCGAAAGCGUGGGAGCAAACAGGAUUAGAUACCCCGUGGUAGACUGUCA
RNAcentral lists this ribosomal RNA (474 nucleotides) under uncultured bacterium. RNAcentral's name for it is "bacterial SSU rRNA". It matches the Rfam family "Bacterial small subunit ribosomal RNA", at positions 335 to 802 of the family's 1533-position model. The record is from RNAcentral.